Molecule: RNase P RNA, 400 nt
Filed under: Alicyclobacillus sp. ALC3
Lineage: Bacteria; Bacillati; Bacillota; Bacilli; Caryophanales; Alicyclobacillaceae
Description: RNase P RNA component class A
Rfam family: Bacterial RNase P class A
About the family: Ribonuclease P (RNase P) is a ubiquitous endoribonuclease, found in archaea, bacteria and eukarya as well as chloroplasts and mitochondria. Its best characterised activity is the generation of mature 5'-ends of tRNAs by cleaving the 5'-leader elements of precursor-tRNAs.
Source: RNAcentral
GAAGUAAGCUGGGCAGCCGCCGGUGCAGUGUCGAAAGGCCGCACGGGAGGAAAGUCGGAGCUCCGCAGGGCAGGGUGCCGGAUAACGUCCGGCGGGAGCAAUCCUAGGGAAAGUGCCACAGACAUGUAGACCGCCGAUGGCCGCUACGCGGCACAGGCAAGGGUGCAACGGUGCGGUAAGAGCGCACCAGCGGGUUGGAGACAACCCGGCUAGGUAAACCCCACCCGGAGCAAGACCGGAUAGGAGUGCACAUGCGAUGGCCCGUCGCGCACUCGGGUAGGUCGCUGGAACCGGCUGGCAACAGUCGGUCUAGAUAGAUGGUUGCCGCUCCACAGUGCGAGGCGCUUGCGCCGUUUGCAGCACAGGAGUACAGGACUCCGCUUACAGGCUUGCUUCCCAA